RNAcentral lists this ribosomal RNA (508 nucleotides) under uncultured bacterium. RNAcentral's name for it is "bacterial SSU rRNA". It matches the Rfam family "Bacterial small subunit ribosomal RNA", at positions 15 to 518 of the family's 1533-position model. The record is from RNAcentral.
GAUCAUGGCUCAGGAUGAACGCUAGCGACAGGCUAACACAUGCAAGUCGAGGGGCAGCAUAAAAGUAGCAAUACUUGGUGGCGACCGGCGCACGGGUGAGUAACGCGUAUGCAACCUACCUAUCAGAGGGGAAUAACCGGCGAAAGUCGGACUAAUACCGCAUAAAACAGGGGCACCGCAUGGUGAUAUUUGUUAAAGAAAUUCGCUGAUAGAUGGGCAUGCGUUCCAUUAGGUAGUUGGUGAGGUAACGGCUCACCAAGCCGACGGUGGAUAGGGGAACUGAGAGGUUGGUCCCCCACACUGGUACUGAGACACGGACCAGACUCCUACGGGAGGCAGCAGUGAGGAAUAUUGGUCAAUGGGCGGGAGCCUGAACCAGCCAAGUCGCGUGAAGGAAGAAGGAUCUAUGGUUCGUAAACUUCUUUUGCAGGGGAAUAAAGUGCAGGACGUGUCCUGUUUUGUAUGUACCCUGAGAAUAAGGAUCGGCUAACUCCGUGCCAGCCGCCGC